Molecule: ribosomal RNA, 508 nt
Filed under: Cartodere spathe
Lineage: Eukaryota; Metazoa; Arthropoda; Insecta; Coleoptera; Latridiidae
Description: partial 16S ribosomal RNA
Rfam family: Bacterial large subunit ribosomal RNA
Source: RNAcentral
GUCCUUUUGAUUAUAAUUUAAGGUCUAGCCUGCCCACUGAUUUAUUAAAUGGCCGCGGUAUUUUGACCGUGCAAAGGUAGCAUAAUCAUUAGUUUUUUAAUUGAAAGCUAGAAUGAAUGGUUGAAUAAGAAAAAUUCUGUCUCAGUUUAGAUUUAUUAGAAUUUUAUUUUUAAGUGAAAAAGCUUAAAUGUAAUUUAAAGACGAGAAGACCCUAUAGAGUUUUAUAAAAGAUUUUUAUAAAAAUUUAAGUUUAAAUUUUUUUUGUAUUUAUUUUUUAUUUGAUUGGGGUGAUUUAAAAAUUUAAUAAACUUUUUUAUUUUUUUACAUUAAUAUAUGAUUAGUUGAUCCAUUUUUAUGAUUAAAAGAUAAAAUUACCUUAGGGAUAACAGCGUAAUUUUUUUUGAGAGUUCUUAUCGAAAAAAGAGAUUGCGACCUCGAUGUUGGAUUAAAAUAAAUAUUUGGUGUAGAAGCUAAAUUAUUAAGUCUGUUCGACUUUUAAAAUUUUACA